This 492-nucleotide ribosomal RNA is filed under the name uncultured bacterium. RNAcentral describes it as "partial 16S ribosomal RNA". It matches the Rfam family "Bacterial small subunit ribosomal RNA", at positions 29 to 507 of the family's 1533-position model. The record is from RNAcentral.
AGUGAACGCUGGCGGUAGGCCUAACACAUGCAAGUCGAACGGCAGCACAGUAAGAGCUUGCUCUUACGGGUGGCGAGUGGCGGACGGGGGAGGAAUACAUCGGAAUCUACUUUUUCGUGGGGGAUAACGUAGGGAAACUUACGCUAAUACCGCAUACGACCUACGGGUGAAAGCAGGGGAUCUUCGGACCUUGCGCGAUUGAAUGAGCCGAUGUCGGAUUAGCUAGUUGGCGGGGUAAAGGCCCACCAAGGCGACGAUCCGUAGCUGGUCUGAGAGGAUGAUCAGCCACACUGGAACUGAGACACGGUCCAGACUCCUACGGGAGGCAGCAGUGGGGAAUAUUGGGCAAUGGGCGCAAGCCUGAUCCAGCCAUACCGCGUGGGUGAAGAAGGCCUUCGGGUUGUAAAGCCCUUUUGUUGGGAAAGAAAAGCAGCAGGUUAAUACCCCGCUGUUCUGACGGUACCCAAAGAAUAAGCACCGGCUAACUUCGUG